AAGUCGUAACAAGGUUUCCGUAGGUGAACCUGCGGAAGGAUCAUUAUUGAAUAAAAUUGGCUGGGUUGUUGCUGGCUUUCAGGAGCAUGUGCACACUCAGUGUCAUUUUAUUAACCACUUGUGCACUUUAUGUAGAACUUGAGACUCUCGAGGACGCUCGGAUUUGAGGACGUGCCUUUUCUGGUUGAAGGGCUGUUCUUGUGCUCUAGGUCUAUGAUCUCUUUACACACUCUAUGAAUGUAACAGAAUGUUUAUAUAUUGGCCUUUGUGCCUUUAAUACAAUACAACUUUCAACAACGGAUCUCUUGGCUCUC
Molecule: unclassified non-coding RNA, 314 nt
Filed under: air metagenome
Description: partial contains small subunit ribosomal RNA, internal transcribed spacer 1, and 5.8S ribosomal RNA
Rfam family: Eukaryotic small subunit ribosomal RNA (bases 1-46)
Source: RNAcentral